This 253-nucleotide ribosomal RNA is filed under the name uncultured bacterium. RNAcentral describes it as "partial 16S ribosomal RNA". It matches the Rfam family "Bacterial small subunit ribosomal RNA", at positions 524 to 776 of the family's 1533-position model. The record is from RNAcentral.
UACGUAGGGACCAAGCGUUGUUCGGAUUUACUGGGCGUAAAGGGCGCGUAGGCGGCGUGACAAGUCAGUUGUGAAAUCUCCGAGCUUAACUCGGAACGGUCAACUGAUACUGUUGUGCUAGAGUGCAGAAGGGGCAAUCGGAAUUCUUGGUGUAGCGGUGAAAUGCGUAGAUAUCAAGAGGAACACCUGAGGUGAAGACGGGUUGCUGGGCUGACACUGACGCUGAGGCGCGAAAGCUAGGGUAGCAAACGGG